Molecule: unclassified non-coding RNA, 253 nt
Filed under: uncultured Pirellulaceae bacterium
Lineage: Bacteria; Pseudomonadati; Planctomycetota; Planctomycetia; Pirellulales; Pirellulaceae
Description: contains 16S-23S intergenic spacer region
Rfam family: Bacterial small subunit ribosomal RNA
Source: RNAcentral
GACGAACCGGACAAACGUUAUUCGGAAUCAUUGGGCUUAAAGGGUGCGUAGGCGGUGCGGAAAGUUGGAUGUGAAAGCUCUCGGCUCAACCGAGGAAUUGCGUCCAGAACUAUCGUACUCGAGGAAGGCAGGGGUGAGCGGAACUCACGGUGGAGCGGUGAAAUGCGUUGAUAUCGUGAGGAACACCGGUGGCGUAAGCGGCUCACUGGGCCUUUUCUGACGCUGAGCCGCGAAAGCCAGGGGAGCGAACGGG